RNAcentral lists this ribosomal RNA (465 nucleotides) under Vreelandella stevensii. RNAcentral's name for it is "partial 16S ribosomal RNA". It matches the Rfam family "Bacterial small subunit ribosomal RNA", at positions 338 to 795 of the family's 1533-position model. Lineage: Bacteria; Pseudomonadati; Pseudomonadota; Gammaproteobacteria; Oceanospirillales; Halomonadaceae. The record is from RNAcentral.
CCUACGGGAGGCAGCAGUGGGGAAUAUUGGACAAUGGGGGCAACCCUGAUCCAGCCAUGCCGCGUGUGUGAAGAAGGCCCUCGGGUUGUAAAGCACUUUCAGUGAGGAAGAACGCCUGGUGGUUAAUACCCAUCAGGAAAGACAUCACUCACAGAAGAAGCACCGGCUAACUCCGUGCCAGCAGCCGCGGUAAUACGGAGGGUGCGAGCGUUAAUCGGAAUUACUGGGCGUAAAGCGCGCGUAGGUGGCUUGAUAAGCCGGUUGUGAAAGCCCCGGGCCCAACCUGGGAACGGCAUCCGGAACUGUCAAGCUAGAGUGCAGGAGAGGAAGGUAGAAUUCCCGGUGUAGCGGUGAAAUGCGUAGAGAUCGGGAGGAAUACCAGUGGCGAAGGCGGCCUUCUGGACUGACACUGACACUGAGGUGCGAAAGCGUGGGUAGCAAACAGGAUUAGAUACCCUUGUAGUC